RNAcentral lists this ribosomal RNA (486 nucleotides) under uncultured bacterium. RNAcentral describes it as "partial 16S ribosomal RNA". It matches the Rfam family "Bacterial small subunit ribosomal RNA", at positions 30 to 507 of the family's 1533-position model. The record is from RNAcentral.
AUUGAACGCUGGCGACAUGCCUUACACAUGCAAGUCGAACGGCAGCACGGGUGCUUGCCCCUGGUGGCGAGUGGCGAACGGGUGAGUAAUACAUCGGAACAUGUCCUGUAGUGGGGGAUAGCCCGGCGAAAGCCGGAUUAAUACCGCACACGAUCUACGGAUGAAAGCGGGGGACCUUCGGGCCUCGCGCUAUAGGGUUGGCCGAUGGCUGAUUAGCUAGUUGGUGGGGUAAAGGCCUACCAAGGCGACGAUCAGUAGCUGGUCUGAGAGGACGACCAGUCACACUGGGACUGAGACACGGCCCAGACUCCUACGGGAGGCAGCAGUGGGGAAUUUUGGACAAUGGGCGAAAGCCUGAUCCAGCAAUGCCGCGUGUGUGAAGAAGGCCUUCGGGUUGUAAAGCACUUUUGUCCGGAAAGAAAUCCUUGGCCCUAAUACGGUCGGGGGAUGACGGUACCGGAAGAAUAAGCACCGGCUAACUACGUG